RNAcentral lists this unclassified non-coding RNA (325 nucleotides) under soil metagenome. RNAcentral's name for it is "partial contains 5.8S ribosomal RNA, internal transcribed spacer 2, and large subunit ribosomal RNA". The stretch from base 1 to 120 matches the Rfam family "5.8S ribosomal RNA", at positions 35 to 154 of the family's 154-position model. The record is from RNAcentral.
GAUGAAGAACGUAGCGAAAUGCGAUAAGUAAUGUGAAUUGCAGAAUUCAGUGAAUCAUCGAAUCUUUGAACGCACAUUGCGCCCCUUGGUAUUCCGAGGGGCAUGCCUGUUCGAGCGUCAUAUUAACCACUCCCGCUUGCGGGGUCUUGGGCUUCGCCUCCGGGCGGGCCUUAAAAUCAGUGGCGGUGCCGUCGGGCUCUACGCGUAGUAAAUUUUCUCGCGAUAGGGUCCCGGUGGAUGCUUGCCAACAACCCCAACUUCUUAAGGUUGACCUCGGAUCAGGUAGGGAUACCCGCUGAACUUAAGCAUAUCAAUAAGCGGAGGA